CACCGCGGUUAUACGAGAGGCCCAAGUUGACAGACACCGGCGUAAAGAGUGGUUAAGGAAGUUCAUCAACUAAAGCCGAAUGCCCUCAAGACUGUUAUACGUUUGCGAAGGUAAGAAGCCCUACUACGAAAGUGGCUUUAUUCCACCUGAUUCCACGAAAGCUGCGAAA
This 169-nucleotide ribosomal RNA is filed under the name Guianacara geayi. Its description in RNAcentral is "partial 12S rRNA". The record is from RNAcentral. Lineage: Eukaryota; Metazoa; Chordata; Actinopteri; Cichliformes; Cichlidae.